This 484-nucleotide ribosomal RNA is filed under the name uncultured bacterium. RNAcentral describes it as "partial 16S ribosomal RNA". It matches the Rfam family "Bacterial small subunit ribosomal RNA", at positions 29 to 507 of the family's 1533-position model. The record is from RNAcentral.
AUUGAACGCUGGCGGCAUGCUUUACACAUGCAAGUCGAACGGCAGCGCGGGCUUCGGCCUGGCGGCGAGUGGCGAACGGGUGAGUAAUACAUCGGAACGUGCCCAGUAGUGGGGGAUAGCUCGGCGAAAGCCGGAUUAAUACCGCAUACGACCUGAGGGUGAAAGCGGGGGAUCUUCGGACCUCGCGCUAUUGGAGCGGCCGAUGGCAGAUUAGCUAGUUGGUGGGGUAAAGGCCUACCAAGGCGACGAUCUGUAGCUGGUCUGAGAGGACGACCAGCCACACUGGGACUGAGACACGGCCCAGACUCCUACGGGAGGCAGCAGUGGGGAAUUUUGGACAAUGGGCGAAAGCCUGAUCCAGCAAUGCCGCGUGUGUGAUGAAGGCCUUCGGGUUGUAAAGCACUUUUGGCGGGAACGAAAAGGACUGUGCCAAUACCACGGUGCGAUGACGGUACCCGCAGAAUAAGCACCGGCUAACUACGUG